RNAcentral lists this ribosomal RNA (481 nucleotides) under uncultured bacterium. RNAcentral's name for it is "partial 16S ribosomal RNA". It matches the Rfam family "Bacterial small subunit ribosomal RNA", at positions 28 to 523 of the family's 1533-position model. The record is from RNAcentral.
GACGAACGCUGGCGGCGUGCCUAACACAUGCAAGUCGAACGGAGAUAUGAUUUCGGUUGUAUCUUAGUGGCGAACGGGUGAGUAACGCGUGAGCAACCUGACUCUUAGAGGGGGAUAACACUCGGAAACGGGUGCUAAUACCGCAUAAGACCACGACAUGGCAUCAUGACGAGGUCAAAGGAGCAAUCCGCUGAGAGAGGGGCUCGCGUCCCAUUAGAUAGAUGGCGGGGUAACGGCCCACCAUGUCAACGAUGGGUAGCCGAGGUGAGAGGCUGAUCGGCCACACUGGAACUGAGACACGGUCCAGACUCCUACGGGAGGCAGCAGUGGGGAAUAUUGGGCAAUGGGCGCAAGCCUGACCCAGCAACGCCGCGUGAGGGAAGAAGGCUUUCGGGUUGUAAACCUCUGUCCUUGGUGACGAAAAAAAUGACGGUAGCCAAGGAGGAAGCCCCGGCUAACUACGUGCCAGCAGCCGCCGUAA